Molecule: long non-coding RNA, 973 nt
Organism: Armigeres subalbatus
Lineage: Eukaryota; Metazoa; Arthropoda; Insecta; Diptera; Culicidae
Exons: 3
Source: RefSeq, a predicted model, not a curated record
GGUGCGGUUAGAUACACCAAGUACGGCUCUCCGAUAAGAGAUGAAAAACGUGGCACUUUGUUUCUUUCUGAACUUCACCAAACUGUCGAAAAGAUAUGUGCACACCAGUCGGAUCACUACUUCCUAUGGCUUUUUUUUAAGGAUUAUCGAAGGAUUAGAUUUAAAGGAUUAGUAGCAGAGUCUCGUUAAUUUCUGGAUUAUAUGACGAAAACCAAAAUGGAUGUGAAUAAUCAAUCAACUGGUCGGAGGAAGUGUGGCAAGAAAGGUUAAUUAGAGUGAGUGCUUGUAGCUAACGGUGGAAUGAUUUGUGAUUUAUAAGCCACCGUGCGCCUCCACCAGAUUCCAGACGGUCAUGCUGUUUGGUAUGGAUGAAGGGUUUUGUUAAAUGCGGUCGGCAGUGUUAGGAUUUGCAGAACGCAGCAAAUUAUUGGCGCGGAAAAUCAUUUUUGGACCAUUCAACAGGUUUUCGAAACACUUUGGGGACUAGUAGCUAAUGGAACUUCUUUAAACGAGCUGAUACGAAUUGGACUGUUAGUUGAAAUACAGAUGCUCUGCAAGGAACGUUGACGCAUAUGAAAGCACACUCGAGUACCAAUAAACCUCACUCAGCGUGUGACUGGAUUUAAAAACGGUUGGCAAUGCAAACUUCUUGCUGAACAAUGAAAACACAUAUAAAAAAAUCCAUUGCCAAAGUGAAAACAUUAUUAUUUAUUAACGAAUUGAUUAAAUAAAAGAUCUUUUCUUCGUUAUCAGUGUAAAGUAAGGACAAGCGACAUUUGAAAAAAUCAAUGUUUUGUUUAAUUGUUUGGUUGGACAUUUGUAGGUUUAAUUGUUUGAUUUUAUAAAACCAAAUAAAACUAUACAAAAUAAGGAAAAAGCAUAUAUUAGGAGUUACAUACAAAUGAUGUCAGGAAAAAUGGAAAAAUUACACACUGCUUCCUUAUUAAGUAUGUCAAUAAAAAAUUGCAAUACC